This 273-nucleotide ribosomal RNA is filed under the name uncultured prokaryote. RNAcentral's name for it is "partial 16S ribosomal RNA". It matches the Rfam family "Bacterial small subunit ribosomal RNA", at positions 524 to 796 of the family's 1533-position model. The record is from RNAcentral.
UACGUAGGGUGCAAGCGUUGUCCGGAUUUAUUGGGUUUAAAGGGUGCGUAGGCGGUCUAUUAAGUCAGUGGUGAAAUCCAACAGCUCAACUGUUGAUGUGCCAAUGAUACUGAUGGACUUGAGUACAGACGAGGUAGGCGGAAUUGACAGUGUAGCGGUGAAAUGCAUAGAUAUUGUCAAGAACACCGAUAGCGAAGGCAGCUUGCUAGCCUGUAACUGACGCUGAGGCACGAAAGUAUGGGGAUCAAACAGGAUUAGAAACCCCGGUAGUCC